UCCUAUUUGCUGAGGCUGAAAAGGAUUGUGUUGAUUUCCUCUUUCACAUUCUCUCCUUGCCAGUGGGAACUGUCACUAGGCUUCUUAAGGAGAAAGAAAUGAAAUAUGGAUGCUUGCCUAACCUCUAUGAAAGCGUCGAAAAUGUUAAUGACAAGUACAUUCAGUCCAACCAAUGCAAGGAUAUCCUUUUAAAACCCAAGUGACCUCUAUGCAAGCGUAGAAAAUCUUAAUGACAAAUACAUUCAAUCGAACCAAUGCAAGGAUAUCCUUUUAAAACCAAUGUCUUCAGCUGGAAAUAUUACUUCAGUUCCUUUUUUAUUGCUUA
RNAcentral lists this long non-coding RNA (325 nucleotides) under Nicotiana benthamiana. RNAcentral's name for it is "long non-coding RNA (NBEN_LNC029231)". The record is from RNAcentral. Lineage: Eukaryota; Viridiplantae; Streptophyta; Magnoliopsida; Solanales; Solanaceae.